UAGGGAAUCUUCCGCAAUGGACGAAAGUCUGACGGAGCAACGCCGCGUGAGUGAAGAAGGUUUUCGGAUCGUAAAACUCUGUUGUCAGAGAAGAACAAGUCGGAGAGUAACUGCUCCGGCCUUGACGGUAUCUGACCAGAAAGCCACGGCUAACUACGUGCCAGCAGCCGCGGUAAUACGUAGGUGGCAAGCGUUGUCCGGAUUUAUUGGGCGUAAAGCGAGCGCAGGCGGUUCCUUAAGUCUGAUGUGAAAGCCCACGGCUUAACCGUGGAAGGUCAUUGGAAACUGGGGAACUUGAGUGCAGAAGAGGAGAGUGGAAUUCCAUGUGUAGCGGUGAAAUGCGUAGAUAUAUGGAGGAACACCAGUGGCGAAGGCGACUCUCUGGUCUGUAACUGACGCUGAGGCUCGAAAGCGUGGGGAGCAAACAG
Molecule: ribosomal RNA, 428 nt
Filed under: uncultured bacterium
Lineage: Bacteria
Description: bacterial SSU rRNA
Rfam family: Bacterial small subunit ribosomal RNA
Source: RNAcentral